UUUAAUUUUAAUAGAUAAAACACAAAAAAGAAAGCAAAAUGGAUGCAGCUACCCAAGCCAUCGUCGAUCAGUUGAAGGAAGAUAUCGUAGAAGCUUUUGAGAUAAAGUUUGAUGAGUUCCUGGACAGGUACGAGAGGGAUUUGAGAAGAAUCAAGGACAAGCUGGAUAGGCUGGAAAGCAUUGCCCGUAAUGGAGCUACUGUGGAUGAUAGUUCUUUUGAUUCUGAUGAUAUGGACUAGUUCUUUAGUUGUAUGUUUUUUUUUGUUUUUUUUGUUGAAGUAUUUUGGUUUUUUUUAAGGAAAUGUAAUAUCCUUGGCAAGAAUUAAAG
RNAcentral lists this long non-coding RNA (328 nucleotides) under Nicotiana benthamiana. Its description in RNAcentral is "long non-coding RNA (NBEN_LNC008494)". Lineage: Eukaryota; Viridiplantae; Streptophyta; Magnoliopsida; Solanales; Solanaceae. The record is from RNAcentral.